Oreochromis aureus is the source of this 1953-nucleotide long non-coding RNA. The record is from Ensembl. NCBI's taxonomy places the organism in Eukaryota, Metazoa, Chordata, Actinopteri, Cichliformes, Cichlidae.
UUUUGAUACUUUAUAAAUUGCUCAGAUUUCACCAUGUGUACAUUUUUUUAUGACAUGGAACCAUUCCUCCCCAUUCAGUACCUCUAGGAUGUCUUGGUCAACGAGCACACAGUGCCACAACACUUUUGUUGAUUUACCCUGUGUGCUUUAAGUUAUUGUCUUGCUGGUAGUGGUGGGGGGAUCGAUCCAAAUAUCGACUGUAUCGAUACCAAGUCGGCAUCGGUAUCGGAUCGACACUAGCCUGGUGAGGUCGAUUCUUCACUUUAAGUUCCGCUCUUGUUUCCAAUGCUCUGCUUUCGGCAAAGACGAAACAGCCAGGUCACCGGACUCGCCGCUCCUGUGUCAGCGCAGAGCAGGCACACUUUGCUCCCCCUCCCCCCUCUUGUGUUUAGAUGUUGCGCCAUCACGUGAUGUGACUUAGACGCUUUGGGGGUAAUUAAGUUUUUUACAUAUUAUUUAUAUUUUCACAAGUCGUUGUUUUAUGUUUAUUAUAGUUUCUCAACAGUACUUGUUUGUUUUAAUUUGUUUACUGGUUUUUUGUGCACUUUUUUAUUUAAGAUUUUUCUGAAAAAAAAAUGAUAAUAAAGCAUUUUCUAUUUAAUUACAAACUUUGUCCUAAUUAUGUCCUGGGUUUUAACUAUUUAUUAAUAAAAAAGGAAACAUCACAAAAAACACUUAAGGUUAAUGACGCACGCACAUUAACGUGUGGGUUAGCCAACCUGUCCUACUCUUCGGGACUUGGUGUUCUUUGUGCACCAAACUCUAAAUACCUUGUGUACCUUCAAAUGGAGAAAACGUUCUUAUCAAGAAAUUAAACAUCCUAGCAAACAUCACUGAGAGAGCAGUCUUUUCCUCAUUGUGCAGAAGCUGAUAAAUUUGAACUGUGAUUCAGUAAUUUCACAAGAUUUUCUUCACAUAUCAUGGGGGAAAAACACCUCUAUUUGAUGAAAGUACUUUGAAUUCACUGUCUGGUUUUACUUUUUCUUUUUUAGCUCCCUGGAGAAAAAUGGGUUCCUAAUACAAGCAAGUAGGCCUACACAGAAAACUGUCAAAAAUAUUUAUGAGCUGUACUCUUCAACUCCUUAAGCAACUGUCUCCAUUAUAGAACAAAACCUUUUUUUUUAAUCUGCCUCUUCGUGUUUCUCAGAGAGCUUUCACCUUGUCCGGACAUGCUUGGCUUUUGAGCUUUUGUUGCUAUACUGCUCAGGUGUCAGUUUGACUGCCAAAAUGUUUUCAAUACUUAUUGAAUUAUUAGUACAUCUGGAACUUUCUUAGCCUGGAUAUAUUAUAAUAGGGCAAAAUCAAUGGGGCAAUAACGCAGUAAAACUAUAACUAACAACUUCUUUCAAAGGGGAAAAAAAUUAAAGCCUUUUUAAAAAAAAAUAAGCUUAUAUCUUAAAAAAAAGAUUUGAUUAGUGACUUUAUACAUGCAAAUUUUAUAUCAAGAAGGACCACUGAAUAAAUGGGAAUUUAUAUAAUGCAAAAUAAGUGCCCAAAAAGUGUCCAGGGGCAUUGUUUUGACAAGGACUUCUUUCCAGAGAACAGUCGACAUUUUAACUCUUUAAAAAUAAAAAACCGUCAAACAUUCAGUGCAAGUAGCAUUCAGCAGUGACUAGUUGCUACAGGUUUUGGGGGAUCAGAUAGUAGGUUCCAAACAAGAACAAACACAUUCAUCAUCACCAUCGUGUCCUUUCUUUGCGAAUGUGCCUAAUGAAAAAAAAACCUCUGACAUUUUCCAAUGAGCCAUCAUGAAAAUGUCAUGUUCUCAGUCACAGACAUUCGUCAUUGUUGGUUGUUCGCAGACCGCUGUCGAUGCUCCACGUCCUGCAGAUGAUGGUUCUGCGCGUACAUGAGACCGCCACAGGAGUCCGCUAUUUCAUAAAGGACAGCAAGGACAGUAAGAGCCGUUCCAACAAAAUACAGCUUGAGGGCCGUUAACACCAUGGCUGUGGC